AUUGAACGCUAGCGGGAUGCCUUACACAUGCAAGUCGAACGGCAGCGCGGACUUCGGUCUGGCGGCGAGUGGCGAACGGGUGAGUAAUGUAUCGGAACGUGCCCAGUAGCGGGGGAUAACUACUCGAAAGAGUAGCUAAUACCGCAUACGCCCUACGGGGGAAAGGGGGGGAUCGCAAGACCUCUCACUAUUGGAGCGGCCGAUAUCGGAUUAGCUAGUUGGUGAGGUAAAGGCUAACCAAGGCGACGAUCCGUAGCUGGUUUGAGAGGAAGACCAGCCACCCUGGGACUGAGACACGGCCCAGACUCCUACGGGAGGCAGCAGUGGGGAAUUUUGGACAAGGGGGGAAACCCUGAUCCAGCCAUUCCGCGUGUGCGAUGAAGGCCUUCGGGUUGUAAAGCACUUUUGGCAGGAAAGAAAUCGCAUCAAUUAAUACUUGGUGUGGAUGACGGUACCUGCAGAAUAAGCACCGGCUAACUACGUGCCAGCAGCCGCCGCAG
This 500-nucleotide ribosomal RNA is filed under the name uncultured bacterium. RNAcentral's name for it is "partial 16S ribosomal RNA". It matches the Rfam family "Bacterial small subunit ribosomal RNA", at positions 30 to 523 of the family's 1533-position model. The record is from RNAcentral.